AGCAGUCGCCGCGGGAAUACGAAGGGGGCUAGCGUUGCUCGGAAUGACUGGGCGUAAAGGGCUCGCAGGCGGUUUUGUAAGACAGGCGUGAAAUCCCCGGGCUCAACCUGGGAACGGCGCUUGUGAUUGCAAAGCUAGAGUGCGGCAGAGGGGGAUGGAAUUCCACGUGUAGCGGUGAAAUGCGUAGAGAUGUGGAGGAACACCAGUGGCGAAGGCGACUCUCUGGUCUGUAACUGACGCUGAGGAGCUAAAGCGUGGGGAGCGAACAGGAUUAGAGACCCGUGUAGUCCCUGUCUCUUAUAC
This 303-nucleotide ribosomal RNA is filed under the name uncultured bacterium. RNAcentral describes it as "partial 16S ribosomal RNA". It matches the Rfam family "Bacterial small subunit ribosomal RNA", at positions 507 to 807 of the family's 1533-position model. The record is from RNAcentral.